GUGACGGUACCUGCAGAAGAAGCACCGGCUAAUUACGUGCCAGCAGCCGCGGUAAUACGUAGGGUGCGAGCGUUAUCCGGAAUUAUUGGGCGUAAAGAGCUCGUAGGCGGUUUGUCGCGUCUGUCGUGAAAGUCCGGGGCUUAACCCCGGAUCUGCGGUGGGUACGGGCAGACUAGAGUGCAGUAGGGGAGACUGGAAUUCCUGGUGUAGCGGUGGAAUGCGCAGAUAUCAGGAGGAACACCGAUGGCGAAGGCAGGUCUCUGGGCUGUAACUGACGCUGAGGAGCGAAAGCAUGGGGAGCGAACAGGAUUAGAUACCCUGGUAGUCCAUGCCGUAAACGUUGGGCACUAGGUGUGGGGACCAUUCCACGGUUUCCGCGCCGCAGCUAACGCAUUAAGUGCCCCGCCUGGGGAGUACGGCCGCAAGGCUAAAACUCAAAGGAAUUGACGGGGGCCCGCACAAGCGGCGGAGCAUGCGGAUUAAUUCGAUGCAACGCGAAGAACCUUACCAAGGCUUGACAUGUUCUCGAUCGCCGUAGAGAUACGGUUUCCCCUUUGGGGCGGGUUCACAGGUGGUGCAUGGUUGUCGUCAGCUCGUGUCGUGAGAUGUUGGGUUAAGUCCCGCAACGAGCGCAACCCUCGUUCCAUGUUGCCAGCACGUCGUGGUGGGGACUCAUGGGAGACUGCCGGGGUCAACUCGGAGGAAGGUGAGGACGACGUCAAAUCAUCAUGCCCCUUAUGUCUUGGGCUUCACGCAUGCUACAAUGGCCGGUACAAUGGGUUGCGAUACUGUGAGGUGGAGCUAAUCCCAAAAAGCCGGUCUCAGUUCGGAUUGGGGUCUGCAACUCGACCCCAUGAAGUCGGAGUCGCUAGUAAUCGCAGAUCAGCAACGCUGCGGUGAAUACGUUCCCGGGCCUUGUACACACCGCCCGUCAAGUCACGAAAGUUGGUAACACC
The sequence is a ribosomal RNA, 956 nucleotides long. It matches the Rfam family "Bacterial small subunit ribosomal RNA", at positions 469 to 1421 of the family's 1533-position model.